CAGUCGCCGCGGUAAAACGUAGGGCGCAAGCGUUAUCCGGAAUUAUUGGGCGUAAAGAGCUCGUAGGCGGUUUGUCGCGUCCGCCGUGAAAGUCCGGGGCUCAACCCCGGAUCUGCGGUGGGUACGGGCAGACUAGAGUGAUGUAGGGGAGACUGGAAUUCCUGGUGUAGCGGUGAAAUGCGCAGAUAUCAGGAGGAACACCGAUGGCGAAGGCAGGUCUCUGGGCAUUAACUGACGCUGAGGAGCGAAAGCAUGGGGAGCGAACAGGAUUAGAUACCCGGGUAGUCCCUGUCUCUUAUAC
This 301-nucleotide ribosomal RNA is filed under the name uncultured bacterium. Its description in RNAcentral is "partial 16S ribosomal RNA". It matches the Rfam family "Bacterial small subunit ribosomal RNA", at positions 509 to 807 of the family's 1533-position model. The record is from RNAcentral.